Molecule: ribosomal RNA, 518 nt
Filed under: uncultured fungus
Lineage: Eukaryota; Fungi
Description: SSU rRNA
Rfam family: Eukaryotic small subunit ribosomal RNA
Source: RNAcentral
AUUAAAAACCAAUGCCCUUCGGGGCUCUCUGGUGACUCAUAAUAACUUCUCGAAUCGCACGGCCUUGCGCCGGCGAUGGUUCAUUCAAAUUUCUGCCCUAUCAACUUUCGACGGCUGGGUCUUGGCCAGCCGUGGUGACAACGGGUAACGGAGGGUUAGGGCUCGACCCCGGAGAAGGAGCCUGAGAAACGGCUACUACAUCCAAGGAAGGCAGCAGGCGCGCAAAUUACCCAAUCCCGACACGGGGAGGUAGUGACAAUAAAUACUGAUACAGGGCUCUUUCGGGUCUUGUAAUUGGAAUGAGUACAAUUUAAAUCCCUUAACGAGGAACAAUUGGAGGGCAAGUCUGGUGCCAGCAGCCGCGGUAAUUCCAGCUCCAAUAGCGUAUAUUAAAGUUGUUGAGGUUAAAAAGCUCGUAGUUGAACCUUGGGCCUAGCCGGCCGGUCCGCCUCACCGCGUGCACUGGCUCGGCUGGGUCUUUCCUUCUGGAGAACCGCAUGCCCUUCACUGGGUGUGCC